Molecule: ribosomal RNA, 508 nt
Filed under: uncultured bacterium
Lineage: Bacteria
Description: partial 16S ribosomal RNA
Rfam family: Bacterial small subunit ribosomal RNA
Source: RNAcentral
AUUGAACGCUGGCGGCAUGCCUUACACAUGCAAGUCGAACGGCAGCGGGGGAGAAGCUUGCUUUUCCUGCCGGCGAGUGGCGAACGGGUGAGUAAUACAUCGGAACGUGCCCUGUAGUGGGGGAUAACUAGUCGAAAGAUUAGCUAAUACCGCAUACGACCUGAGGGUGAAAGUGGGGGACCGCAAGGCCUCAUGCUAUAGGAGCGGCCGACGUCUGAUUAGCUAGUUGGUGGGGUAAAGGCCUACCAAGGCGACGAUCAGUAGCUGGUCUGAGAGGACGAUCAGCCACACUGGGACUGAGACACGGCUCAGACUCCUACGGGAGGCAGCAGUGGGGAAUUUUGGACAAUGGGCGAAAGCCUGAUCCAGCAAUGCCGCGUGUGUGAAGAAGGCCUUCGGGUUGUAAAGCACUUUUGUCCGGAAAGAAAUGGCUCUGGUUAAUACCUGGGGUCGAUGACGGUACCGGAAGAAUAAGGACCGGCUAACUACGUGCCAGCAGCCGCAGUAA